GUUUUUGUAGUUGAAUACAACACUGAUUUUUCGGGUCAGAGGUCCUGGUUAAAUCCUAGGUAAAAAUA
This 68-nucleotide transfer RNA is filed under the name Pleurodeles poireti (Algerian ribbed newt). RNAcentral's name for it is "tRNA-Glu". It matches the Rfam family "tRNA". From Rfam's summary of the family: Transfer RNA (tRNA) molecules are approximately 80 nucleotides in length. The record is from RNAcentral. Lineage: Eukaryota; Metazoa; Chordata; Amphibia; Caudata; Salamandridae.